GUGUCCUGCGCAACGCGAAGGCUGUGAACCCCGCCAGGUCCGGAAGGAAGCAACGGUAAGCAGUUUUUCGCGUGUGCCGCAGGGGUGCAUGA
Molecule: signal recognition particle RNA, 92 nt
Filed under: Caldicellulosiruptor owensensis OL
Lineage: Bacteria; Bacillati; Bacillota; Caldicellulosiruptorales; Caldicellulosiruptoraceae
Description: SRP RNA; RNA component of signal recognition particle
Rfam family: Bacterial small signal recognition particle RNA
About the family: The signal recognition particle (SRP) is a universally conserved ribonucleoprotein involved in the co-translational targeting of proteins to membranes. Archaeal SRP consists of a 7S RNA and homologues of the eukaryotic SRP19 and SRP54 proteins.
Source: RNAcentral